RNAcentral lists this ribosomal RNA (805 nucleotides) under Peltophryne lemur (lowland Caribbean toad). Its description in RNAcentral is "partial 16S ribosomal RNA". It matches the Rfam family "Bacterial large subunit ribosomal RNA", at positions 1483 to 2562 of the family's 2925-position model. Lineage: Eukaryota; Metazoa; Chordata; Amphibia; Anura; Bufonidae. The record is from RNAcentral.
CAUCAUAUUCCUACAUUACUAUUGAGUAAUUCUAUAGGAUUAUAGAAAAUUUUAUGUUAAAACUAGUAACAAGAAGAAGACCCUUCUCUUUAAUGUAAGUGUACAUCAGAAAGGACAAACCACUGAUAUUUAACAUUUCUGAGCUUGAAAUAGAAACCGACCAAGAAAACCCUACUUUCACCCAUGUUAACCUAACACCAGAACAUUUUAAGAAAGAUUAAAAGAAAAAGAAGGAACUCGGCAAAUAUUAACCUCGCCUGUUUACCAAAAACAUCGCCUCUUGAGUACAUAUAAGAGGUCCAGCCUGCCCAGUGACCAUGUUCAACGGCCGCGGUAUCCUAACCGUGCGAAGGUAGCGUAAUCACUUGUUCUUUAAAUGAGGACUAGUAUGAAUGGCACCACGAAGGUUAUACUGUCUCCUUUUUCCAAUCAGUGAAUCUAAUCUUCCCGUGAAGAAGCGGGAAUAAAAAUAUAAGACGAGAAGACCCUAUGGAGCUUAAAACAACACAGCACCUGCUAUAAAACACAAAAAUUUCAGAAUCCCUAAUUAUCCUGACAGCAUGACUGUAAGUUUUUGGUUGGGGUGACCACGGAGCAUAAUAUAACCUCCACGUUGAAAGAAUUUUAUUCUAAGCUAAAAAUUACACUUUUAAGCAUCAAUAAAUUGACAUCUAUUGACCCAAUACACUUGAACAACGAACCAAGUUACCCUAGGGAUAACAGCGCAAUCCACUUCAAGAGCUCCUAUCGACAAGUGGGUUUACGACCUCGAUGUUGGAUCAGGGUUUCCCAGUGGUGCAGCCGC